Molecule: transfer RNA, 82 nt
Filed under: Ipomoea nil (Japanese morning glory)
Lineage: Eukaryota; Viridiplantae; Streptophyta; Magnoliopsida; Solanales; Convolvulaceae
Rfam family: tRNA
About the family: Transfer RNA (tRNA) molecules are approximately 80 nucleotides in length. Their secondary structure includes four short double-helical elements and three loops (D, anti-codon, and T loops).
Source: Rfam by way of RNAcentral
GUGCGUGUGCCAGAGUGGUUAUCGAGCAUGACUAGAAAUCAUGUGGGCUUUGCCCGCGCAGGUUUGAAUCCUGCCGCUCACA